AUCCUUCAGUUCAUGAGUGUGAUGAUUGGGUAUUCAUGCCUUAUGCAGGAGAUAUGCCUCUCUCAAACCUUGCUAUGACAUGGGCACAUUGCCUGCCUGACU
Molecule: small nucleolar RNA, 102 nt
Organism: Octodon degus (degu)
Lineage: Eukaryota; Metazoa; Chordata; Mammalia; Rodentia; Octodontidae
Product: small nucleolar RNA U13
Exons: 1
Source: RefSeq, a predicted model, not a curated record